GCGCAGCAGGCGCGAAUCUUCCACAAUGGGGGAAACCCUGAUGGAGCGACGCCGCGUGCGGGAUGAAGGCCCUAUGGGUUGUAAACCGCUGUUCAGUGGAAAGAACAUCCUCCGGCUGAAUAGGUCGGAGGCCUGACGUUACCACUGCAGAAAGUCCCGGCCAACUCCGUGCCAGCAGCCGCGGUAAUACGGGGGGGACGAGCGUUGUCCGGAAUCAUUGGGCGUAAAGGGCGCGUAGGCGGCGAGGAAAGUCGAAUGUGAAAUCUUGCGGCUCAACUGCAAAACUGCGUUCGAAAACUUCCUCGCUUGAGUAUGAGAGAGGUGUGCGGAAUUCCUGGUGUAGCGGUGGAAUGACGUAGAUAUCAGGAGGAACACCGGU
This 379-nucleotide ribosomal RNA is filed under the name uncultured microorganism. Its description in RNAcentral is "bacterial SSU rRNA". It matches the Rfam family "Bacterial small subunit ribosomal RNA", at positions 346 to 713 of the family's 1533-position model. The record is from RNAcentral.